UUGUCUCAAAGAUUAAGCCAUGCAUGUCUCAGUACAAGCCGAAUUAAGGUGAAACCGCGAAAGGCUCAUUAAAUCAGUUAUGGUUCCUUAGAUCGUACCCACAUUUACUUGGAUAACUGUGGUAAUUCUAGAGCUAAUACAUGCAAACAGAGCUCCGACCGGAGACGGAAGGAGCGCUUUUAUUAGAUCAAAACCAAUCGGUGGCGAUUUCCGUCGUCAUCGUACAACUUGGUGACUCUGAAUAACUUUACGCUGAUCGCACGGUCUCGCACCGGCGACGCAUCUUUCAAAUGUCUGCCUUAUCAACUGUCGAUGGUAGGUUCUGCGCCUACCAUGGUUGUAACGGGUAACGGGGAAUCAGGGUUCGAUUCCGGAGAGGGAGCCUGAGAAACGGCUACCACAUCCAAGGAAGGCAGCAGGCGCGCAAAUUACCCACUCCCGGCACGGGGAGGUAGUGACGAAAAAUAACGAUACGGGACUCAUCCGAGGCCCCGUAAUCGGAAUGAGUACACUCUAAACCCUUUAACGAGGAUCAAUUGGAGGGCAAGUCUGGUGCCAGCAGCCGCGGUAAUUCCAGCUCCAAUAGCGUAUAUUAAAGUUGUUGCGGUUAAAAAGCUCGUAGUCGAAUCUGUGUCCCGCGCCGCCGGUUCAUCGUUCGCGGUGUCAACUGGCGUGCCGCGGGACGUCCUGCCGGUGGGCUUAGCUCGAGAGGGCGGCCCAACUCAAUCCCGCCGCGGUGCUCUUCAUUGAGUGUCGAGGUGGGCCGGCACGUUUACUUUGAACAAAUUAGAGUGCUUAAAGCAGGCUAAAACUUCGCCUGAAUACUGUGUGCAUGGAAUAAUGGAAUAGGACCUCGGUUCUAUUUUGUUGGUUUUCUGAACCCCGAGGUAAUGAUUAAUAGGAACGGAUGGGGGCAUUCGUAUUGCGACGUUAGAGGUGAAAUUCUUGGAUCGUCGCAAGACGGACAGAAGCGAAAGCAUUUGCCAAAAACGCUUUCAUUGAUCAAGAACGAAAGUUAGAGGUUCGAAGGCGAUCAGAUACCGCCCUAGUUCUAACCAUAAACGAUGCCAGCUAGCGAUCCGCCGACGUUCCUCCGAUGACUCGGCGGGCAGCUUCCGGGAAACCAAAGCUUUUGGGUUCCGGGGGAAGUAUGGUUGCAAAGCUGAAACUUAAAGGAAUUGACGGAAGGGCACCACCAGGAGUGGAGCCUGCGGCUUAAUU
RNAcentral lists this ribosomal RNA (1221 nucleotides) under Callismilax bavayi. RNAcentral's name for it is "SSU rRNA". It matches the Rfam family "Eukaryotic small subunit ribosomal RNA", at positions 32 to 1195 of the family's 1831-position model. The record is from RNAcentral. Lineage: Eukaryota; Metazoa; Arthropoda; Insecta; Coleoptera; Tenebrionidae. RNAcentral also lists the same sequence under 1 other name.